CGUCCUCCACCAACGUCGUCACCUGAUCAGGAGAGUUGAUGGUGCAUCCGUGGUAGGAAGAAGAUGAAAUCCCGCCACCUGACCUCCAGUCGUCGGUAUCGCCGGCGACUGGCCUCGCUUUCCCAUCGCCGCCGUCGGCUCCGCCGACAGAAGCCGUCCGGCCGGCUUCGACGGAGAACGACUUGACAGCAGAGGGAUCGAAGUCGAAGUCGAGUCUAUGAUCCUCGACUGUCGCGGCUAUGACUGACGCCGGCGGAGCGGUGGCGGCGAAGGACAUGGAAUUUACGGUAAAGUUGGCUAAAAUAAGCAUCAGAGAAAGCAUUAGAGUAGGCGUGCAGGAGAAUAUCUGCUGGAACAACCAGACAAAUGAGGCGUGCAUCUCUUGAUGUACUCGAGCUAAGAUGCCGUCCAGGUUCUCGACAAAAAGCAGCUCUCGCAUCUGGAGAGUGCACCGCUGCAGCUCGCCGAUGAUGAACACCAUUGACGAGAACGCCUUCUUCACCGGUGUCUCAAUCGCUG
RNAcentral lists this unclassified non-coding RNA (519 nucleotides) under Hevea brasiliensis (rubber tree). The record is from RNAcentral. Lineage: Eukaryota; Viridiplantae; Streptophyta; Magnoliopsida; Malpighiales; Euphorbiaceae.